RNAcentral lists this ribosomal RNA (253 nucleotides) under uncultured bacterium. Its description in RNAcentral is "partial 16S ribosomal RNA". It matches the Rfam family "Bacterial small subunit ribosomal RNA", at positions 524 to 776 of the family's 1533-position model. The record is from RNAcentral.
GACGUAGGGGGCCAGCGUUGCUCGGAAUUACUGGGCGUAAAGGGUUCGUAGGCGGUGCGGCAAGUUGGGAGUGAAAUCUCUGGGCUUAACCCAGAGGCUGCUUCCAAAACUGCCGUGCUAGAGUGCGAGAGAGGCCAGUGGAAUUGCAGGUGUAGCGGUGAAAUGCGUAGAUAUCUGCAGGAACACCCGUGGCGAAGGCGGCUGGCUGGAUCGCAACUGCCGCUGAGGAGCGAAAGCUAGGGGCGCAAUCAGU